RNAcentral lists this unclassified non-coding RNA (2498 nucleotides) under Hevea brasiliensis (rubber tree). The record is from RNAcentral. Lineage: Eukaryota; Viridiplantae; Streptophyta; Magnoliopsida; Malpighiales; Euphorbiaceae.
CUCGCAUCCUGCAUAAACAAUUGUAUUAAUUAGUUAGCAUCAUUCAACUUAUUAUACAUAAUACAGAUGAAAUUUUCUAAUAGUUAGAAUUUAUACUUCAGGUUUAGAAAUAUAAAUUCAUUAAGAGAAAUACCUAAUUCUAAUUAGUAUCACUAUCAUAUACAUCAUCGCAUUCCUCAUCACUUUCUGAGUCCAAUUCAAGCUCUUCUUCAUCUUCAACAUCCUCUUCAUUAAUUUCAACUAGUACACCGUUUUGAUCAUUCAAGUAUUGUUGUUGAUCAUCAUCAUCGUCAAUUUGAAUCAAAGGGACUUCCAUUUCAUCUUCUUGAAAUGGUUCUUCCCGUGCAGGGGGGGUUGUGACAUUCACUUGCUCAGGAAGAUCAAUAACAGAUCUCGCUUUGAUUUUGAACACAGCCCACCAAUCAUCCUUGUCACGUUUUAAGCUUGGAUAUAUGGAAUAAUUCACCUGAGCAGCUUGGAUAGCAAGAACAAAUGGUUCAUACCUAUUGAAGGAUCUUUUAUGAUUAAUAUCCACAAGUUUAUAUUUUGGAUGAAUCUUUGUUCCCACAUUUGGUGUUGGAUCAAACCAAUCACAUUUAAACAAUACAGUUCUUUUGAUUGGUAAUCCAGGGUACUCCAAUCGUAGCACUUCAAUUAAUUGUCCAUAGUAGUCACUUUCAUUAGUACUGUAAUUAGUCCCCUUGAUACAUACCCCACUGUUCAUCGUUGCCCUAUGCGAACCAUAACCUUUAGUGUGAAAUUUAUAACCAUUAACUACAUAACUAUUGUAGCACAUAACACUUCUUAAUGGACCCUUUGAUAGAUCCUUUAAAAACUGGCUUGAUAUAUUGUUGGAGGGAUUGUGAACAUAUUUAUUGAACCACUUAUCAAAUUCACGCUCUAGUUUCUCAUCAACUUGUUUAUCAUUGAUAUUUGGAUUGGCCAUGUGUAACUCAUUAACAAAAAUGCUGCACACAAUGAAAAUAGUUAAUUACAUGUUUGGAAUCAAUAAUGGCAUUGCAACAAUUAUAAUAAUUGAAUAUUAGAAAAACUUACUCAAUGUACGGUUUUACUUCUAUACAAUUCAACAAGAUGUACAUUUGUGCUGCUUGAAAUUCUUGUUCUGUGAGAUAUCUAACCUUUCCUUUUCCCAGUGGCCUACCGGAAUGAGUGAAAAUUGAUAGAUUCCCUAGAUGUUCAUCCAUAUGUUCGACUGUAUCAUCAUUGCGUGGAACCUUUCGAUGCCUUGUGUUGACAUGGGGUUCAAAAUAAUGAGCGCAGAAUGACGAUGCUUCUUCAACUAAGUAUGCAUUGCAUAUGGAACCUUCCACUUUGGCUUUAUUUUUCACAUUAUUUUUUAACUUCCUAAGGUACCUCUCAAAUGGAUACAUCCACCGAUAUUGCACAGGACCAGCAAUCCAUGCUUCAUAAGCCAAAUGCACUGGGAGAUGUUCCAUGGAGUCAAAGAAACUUGGAGGGAAUAUACGCUCUAGUUUACAUAAUAUAAUAGGAAUCUCUUCAUUGAGCUGUAACAUGGCUUCUUCUCUAAGUGUUGUUGAAGUUAACUCUCUAAAGAAAUUGCUCAAUUCGGUCAAUGCUUGCCACACAUUUUUUGGAAGCAAUUCCCUAAAUGCUAUUGGGAGUAAUCUUUGCAUAAAGACAUGACAAUCAUGGCUUUUCAUCCCAAACAACUUUAGUUUUCUCAUGUCUAUACACCUACCCAUGUUUGACACAUAACCAUCUGGGAAUCUAAGAUUUUUAAGCCAUUCACACAACACUGCUUUUGAUUGUUUGUCUAAUGUGUAACAUGCUUUAGGAUACUUUCCUGUUGCCAUAUCCCUCUCUAACUCAGGUCGGUGACAAAACUCUUUCAAAUCUUCUCUUGAUUUUGCAUUGUCCUUCGUCUUCCCUUCAACAUUCAUCACAGUAUUAAAAAUAUUUUCAAAUACAUUUUUCUCUAUAUGCAUGACAUCCAAGUUGUGGCGAAGCAUGUUAGUACUCCAAUAUGGCAAAUCCCAAAAAAUGCUCCGUCUCUUCCAACCCGUGUUUUUUGCUUUGCAACUGUUAUUCUCAUCUGCACCCAUAUCUGUGACACACAUUAAUCCUAGAUGUUCUAUUUGUUCUAAAAUUUCCUCACCAGAUAGAAUGGGGGGAGCACUUUUUGUAACUGUCUUGUUCUUUCUAAAAGCAAUUUUAUUCCGUCUGAAAGGAUGGUUAGCUGGUAAGAAUUUACGGUGAUUGUCAAACCAUGAUUGUUUACCACCCUUUGUCAAUGUGAAUGCAUCUGAAUCGUCCCUACAAUAUGGACAAGCAGUCUUGCCUGCUGUGCUCCAACCGGAUAACAUUGAAUAUGCAGGGAAAUCACUUAUUGUCCAUAAUAACGCAACCCUCAUAUUAAAAUUAUUCUUCUUUGAUGCAUCAUAUGUCUCAACUCCAACUUCCCAUAACUAUUUCAACUUUGCAAUAAGGGGUUAUAAGUACACAUCCAAUUUGUCUUU